AGUAAUUCCUAGGUAUUUGAAAUCCUCAUGCUUACACUUACUUACUCCUUCCUUCCAUUACACCCUUAAAAUUUUCCAACCUGUUUUCCAAUCUCUCUCUGUUGUCUGCCCGCCUGGGUCCAUCCUGUUUUUCUCGCUGAACCGUCCCUUCCCUAGGCACCAACUUGUUCCGCUACCAGUUUAGCUAGGAGGGUGGGCUUCUCAACUAGCCCCCACCCCUCCUGGUCUCUUCCCUUAAACAUUCCUACUCACAAGACUACCAGAGUCCUCCUUCGUGGGGCUUGCCACCUGGA
Non-coding RNA from Chelonoidis abingdonii (Abingdon island giant tortoise), 293 nucleotides. NCBI's taxonomy places the organism in Eukaryota, Metazoa, Chordata, Testudines, Testudinidae. The record is from RefSeq and is a predicted model, not a curated record.